AUGUUAGUAUUUCAUAAGUUAACACAAACAGAUGAAUGUGUUUGUGUUCAGGGGAACGGUGGUAUUCCUGGACGAUCAGGCCUACCAGGAAGAAAAGGUGAACAGGGGGACAUUGGACCUCCUGGGGCCCCUGGCAUCCCUGGCAAAGAGGGGUUGGUGGGCCCCAAGGGUGACCGUGGAAUUGAUGGGAUUGCAGGACCCAAAGGAACUCAGGGAGAGAAAGGUGAAAGGGUGAGUUUCUACUUUCGCAUGUACCGCUCUGUGUGCUGCACCUGAUCUACAUAAUUUGCAGGUGCUGUCAAAUGUGCAGCGUCACUCACUCAAAAACCACAGGAAACCUUGAAAUACAUAACGAACUGUGUCUGUGCUUCACACAGGGCCCACCUGGUGUUCCUGGCCCUCCUGGUCCCAGAGGUGUAGAUGGGGCCUCUGGCCUGACUGGCCCCCAGGGACCAGCCGGUGCUAAAGGCCCUGAAGGUCUGCAAGGACAGAAGGGAGAGAGAGGUCCAGUUGGUCCUGCCACGGUCGGCCCUCGGGGCGUCCCAGGUAUUCCUGGAGAAAGGGGCGAACAGGUAAAUUGUCCCACUACUUCCCUUCUGUCACUUGGUGGCUCUUUGUCAAAAAGAAAUGAUUUACUGAAGUCAUGACAUUACUGUUUUUAUUACUCUACAACACAUUUAGCUACCGUAGCACUUGCAGGGAAGCAACCUUAAUCAUUUCAACCCUCAGCUGAAUAUUCGGUGACCUCACAUGCAAGGACACAAGCAUAUAGAGAAUAGAAAGACUUUAUCACUAUUGCUGACUUUACCUUCUUACUUUGACUUUGCAUGUAGUUCAUAUGCUGCACCUGGUCUCAGUCUAAUGAAUUAAUGCGCUGCAAGCCUCUCUGUGGGUCGGUGGCUUAAUACCUGUCCACGUUGCAGGGAGAGAUGGGCCCAGAUGGAGCCAAAGGAGACAGAGGAGAUCCGGGCAUGACGGUCAGUGCGUGAUCUCUUACCACAGGGCUCAAUCUGAAGACACUGACUUCAGACAGCAGACAUACUGUGCUGAUAUUGGCUUCGUGUUUGUAUAAGUGUGUCUUGUCCUGGUUUCUCUUUUCAUUCUGAAUUCAGGAGGAUGAGAUCAGAGAGUAUGUUCGCUCAGAGAUGAGUCAGCACUGUGGUGAGUCUUUCAUGCUACUUGCAUUGCUAAUUUUCGAGCAGCGUUGUCCCCAAGAUGAACUUCAGAUGGUAAUCGCAGCGUAUGAGUCACACGCUCGGCAAAACUAUACGAAAAACAAUACCACAAACGAAGCUGUAGAGAGCGACAGCAGUGCUGUGACGCUUUGAACUGACCGUUGUUAUUCCCUCUCUUUCUGCUUCCUUCCCGUCCAUCUGUCGGAUCCUCAGCAUGUGGAGGUGAGUGAGCCAUUUGACUGCAGCAGAGAGGAGAAAGGUGGACAGAAGGGCUGUGAUUUAGCAUGAGUCACAGUGAUACACUGUACCACAUAUGCUGCUGUAGUGAGAGCCGUCACUUCCAUUUAUUAUUUAUUUCGUCAAAGGCUGGAGUGUUUUCACCAGCAUGAAGCCACUGCAGAACCACCGCGUUUGCAUGUAGUUGGUUUGAUCUUUGUAUAUUUUACUGCAGAGACGACUGUUGGAGUCCACAAUGAUGUGGAGUGUGUUCAGGCAAUGUAGAAUAUUUAAAUUGGGAAGGUCGUUAAGAUAAGGAACUUCUCCAAAUGUUUGUGCCUGUUGUCAGAGCUGCUAAUCAAUGCAGGACCACAUCAGCGUUAUGAAGUAACAUUGGCAGAACAUGAGAUCAGUGAUGGUGAGGCCGGCUGUUAAUAAAUAUGCAGCGCCACUGAGAAUGAGGCCA
Molecule: long non-coding RNA, 1857 nt
Organism: Betta splendens (Siamese fighting fish)
Lineage: Eukaryota; Metazoa; Chordata; Actinopteri; Anabantiformes; Osphronemidae
Source: Ensembl